AUGGAGAGUGCCAUUGAUUAAGAAUUCCAACAUGAGAUAUGUGAAUCCGGUUUGGAUAAUAUUGACAGACAAGCUGCGAAUGGAGAACUAGAUGAUGAUGGGAAACCCAAAAGAGCUGGGACUGUGUGGAUUGCAAGUGCACGUAUAAUUACUGCUGUGAUAAGCACUGGGGUUCUCUCACUGGCCUGGAGUGUGGCACAACUCAGAUGGAUUUUCGGCAUAAGCAUUGUCUUAAUUUUUGCAGUGAUUACAUUAUAUACUGCCAAUCUUUUAGCAGAUUGUUACAGGUGCCCAGACCCAGUUACUGGGAGGCGAAAUUACACAUACAUGGAGGCUGUCCAAAACAUCUUAGGUGGAGAAAUGCACAUGGCUUGUGGGUUGGUCCAAAAUAUGAGCCUUAUUGGAAUUUUGAUCGGCUAUACCAUAACAACAUCUAAAAGCAUGGUGGCUAUACAUAAAUCACAUUGCUUUCACAAAAGAGGCCAUGAAGCUCCAUGCAAGUUUUCCAACAAUCCAUACAUGAUUGCAUUGGGGAUUUUUGAGAUUUUAUUGUCUCAAAUCCCAAACUUUCAUGAAUUGUCGUGGCUGUCCAGUGUGGCAGCAAUUAUGUCUUUCGGUUAUGCGAGUAUAGGGAUUGGACUUUCAUUUGCAAGGGUCAUCUCGGGGCCAAGGGGGAGAACCACUAUGACUGGAGUGGAAGUAGGGGUUGAUGUAUCUCAAGCAGAAAAAAUUUGGAGAGAGUGCACAGCAUUGGGAAACAUUGCAAUUGCUUGCGCAUAUACUUUUAUUGCAAUCGAUGUCCAAGACACGUUAAAGUCAUCACCGCCUGAAAAUAAAGUGAUGAAGAAGGCUAACACAAUAGCUAUCUCGACCAUGACAGUAUUCUUCCUCAUGUGCGGUUGCCUUGGCUAUGCUGCAUUUGGGAACGAGGCACAGGGCAACAUGCUGACCGGCUUUGGGUUUUACGAGCCCUUCUGGUUGAUAGAAUUGGGCAAUAUCAUGAUUGUGGUGCACCUAUUGGGAUCAUAUCAGGUAAUUGGGCAACAAGUCUUCCGCAUGUUAGAAUUAUGGGCUAGCAUGAGGUGGCCUAACUCAAAGUUCGUAGCUGUGGAGUACCCAUUAAACAUUGGCAAAAUAAGAUUUAGUAUCAACUUCUUAAGGCUAAUUUGGAGAACAAUUUUUGUGGUGAUAAUAACAGUUCUUGCCAUGGCUAUGCCAUUUUUCAAUGAGAUGCUUUCACUUCUUGGAGCCAUUGCGUUCUGGCCAGUUGCGGUCUAUUUCCCAGUGGAGAUGUACAUUGCUCAGACAAAGAUUAGGAAACGAACAUUUCAGUGGUUCGGGCUUCAAAUCUUGAGCUUGUUUUGCUUUCUCGUUUCAUUGGCUGCAGCAUGUGGUGCCAUCCAAGGAUUAAAUAAGGGUCUUCAUGCUAGCAAGCCUUUCCAGUUCAAAGAGUGA
Molecule: RNA transcript, 1455 nt
Organism: Quercus lobata
Lineage: Eukaryota; Viridiplantae; Streptophyta; Magnoliopsida; Fagales; Fagaceae
Gene name: amino acid permease 6-like
Exons: 7
Source: RefSeq, a predicted model, not a curated record